RNAcentral lists this ribosomal RNA (127 nucleotides) under Salmonella enterica. Its description in RNAcentral is "partial 23S ribosomal RNA". It matches the Rfam family "Bacterial large subunit ribosomal RNA", at positions 2800 to 2925 of the family's 2925-position model. The record is from RNAcentral. Lineage: Bacteria; Pseudomonadati; Pseudomonadota; Gammaproteobacteria; Enterobacterales; Enterobacteriaceae. RNAcentral also lists the same sequence under 4 other names.
UGAGACUUUGAGUCUCCUGAAGGAACGUUAAAGACGAUGACGUUGAUAGGCCGGGUGUGUAAGCGCAGCGAUGCGUUGAGCUAACCGGUACUAAUGAACCGUGAGGCUUAACCUUACAACGCCGAAG